CGCUAGGUUGCUAAAAGCAGUCUUCGAAGAAGAGCUUUUACCGUGUCUUACCAAGACAACAGUAACCACAAAGAAUGCGUUCCAUGCACAAUUGUAAGAGUUAAAUCGUGAGAACAGUCUCACCCGAGUCUAAACCAGCACAAUUAGCUACAAUUGCUGUACUUGUGGGUAUCUUGUUGCAGUGACAAGUAGCCUGACCGGCUUUAUGAAAUCGCGUAGGUUAGCUAGGCCUCGAGGCGUUAGCCAGCUAACUUGCUAACAUAAUCCUUUUCUCAAAGCAUGUAUCCUUCAUGGGGAAGCUAUGGCGGCGCACAACAACCUCAACAUUUCGGUCCUAGAAAUCAGCAGUUCAGGGGUCCACAACCACCAGGAGCAGGAUUUGUUGGAUAUGGGACGUCGCCUGCGCCACCUUCCAAUUUUUCAAGUUUACACGAACAGCACCUGCAACAAAUGCAACAACUACAACAGCUUCAUCAGAGGCAGCUGCAGUCUAUGUUACAGCACAAUGCUAUCUCCGGUUUUGGCAGUGGUUUGGGUUCAGAUCCUCCUGGACCCUGGCAAGGAGGUGGUAUAGCUUUUUCUUCUGGUCCUGGUAACAUUGUAUCCACCAGCAACUUCGGUGAUCAGCCGUCGCACAUGAGAGGUCUGGGAAACCAUAUUCCGCCACCUGUGCCCCAACAGCCUGAACCUUCCUCCUCAUCGCCUGCUGUGUCUAAAAGCUCUGCGCCAGCACCGCAGAACACAAACGGCAGCGAAAAUGUACAAAAGAUGAGCGAUUCCACCAAAUCGGAACCGAACGGCAAAGCCGACCUUUCGUCUAUGUCUUUACAGGAACAGCAGGACUACUGGUACAAACAGCACCUUCAGAAUCUGCAGAAGUUAAAGAAUGAAAAGGCAAAGCAAAUUCAGGAUGCAGGUGUUGAAGCCCCACCAGUACCUCCACCUCCAGCUGAACCACCCAAGAGUGCCCCACCACCGCCACCCCCCAAAGAGGAGCCGCCUCCUCCUCCUCCACCUGAGGACACUAAGGUAAUUGAUA
Molecule: long non-coding RNA, 1039 nt
Organism: Electrophorus electricus (electric eel)
Lineage: Eukaryota; Metazoa; Chordata; Actinopteri; Gymnotiformes; Gymnotidae
Source: Ensembl